GACCUCCGAUCAAGCAAGAGGACCCGCUGAAUU
Molecule: ribosomal RNA, 33 nt
Filed under: Pterygophora californica
Lineage: Eukaryota; Phaeophyceae; Laminariales; Alariaceae
Description: partial 26S ribosomal RNA
Source: RNAcentral